Molecule: ribosomal RNA, 278 nt
Filed under: uncultured bacterium
Lineage: Bacteria
Description: partial 16S ribosomal RNA
Rfam family: Bacterial small subunit ribosomal RNA
Source: RNAcentral
GAUCAUGGCUCAGGAUGAACGCUGGCGGCGCGCCUAACACAUGCAAGUCGAACGGCACCCCUCUCCGGAGGGAAGCGAGUGGCGAACGGCUGAGUAACACGUGGAGAACCUGCCCCCUCCCCCGGGAUAGCCGCCCGAAAGGACGGGUAAUACCGGAUACCCCCGGGCGCCGCAUGGCGCCCGGGCUAAAGCCCCGACGGGAGGGGAUGGCUCCGCGGCCCAUCAGGUAGACGGCGGGGUGACGGCCCACCGUGCCGACAACGGGUAGCCGGGUUGAG